UUCCGGUUGAUCCUGCCGGACCUGACUGCUAUCGGAUUGAUACUAAGCCAUGCGAGUCUUUGUAGCAAUACAAGGCAGACGGCUCAGUAACACGUAGUCAAUCUACCCUAUAGACGGGGAUAACCUCGGGAAACUGAGAAUAAUACCCGAUAGGCCAUUAUGCCUGGAAUGGUUUAUGGCUCAAAUGAUUUAUCGCUGUAGGAUGGGACUGCGGUCUAUCAGCUUGUUGGUGAGGUAAUGGCCCACCAAGGCUAUAACAGAUACGGGCUCUGAGAGGAGAAGCCCGGAGAUGGGUACUGAGACACGGACCCAGGCCCUAUGGGGCGCAGCAGGCGAGAAAACUUUGCAAUGUGCGAAAGCACGACAAGGUUAAUCCGAGUGUUUUCUGCUAAAGAAAUCUUUUGUCAGUCCUAAAAACACUGAUGAAUAAGGGGUGGGCAAGUUCUGGUGUCAGCCGCCGCGGUAAAACCAGCACCUCAAGUGGUCAGGAGGAUUAUUGGGCCUAAAGCAUCCGUAGCCUGCUCUGUAAGUUUUCGGUUAAAUCCAUAUGCUCAACAUAUGGGCUGCCGGGAAUACUGCAUAGCUAGGGAGUGGGAGAGGUAGACGGUACUCGGUAGGAAGGGGUAAAAUCCUUUGAUCUAUUGAUGACCACCUGUGGCGAAGGCGGUCUACCAGAACACGUUCGACGGUGAGGGAUGAAAGCUGGGGGAGCAAACCGGAUUAGAUACCCGGGUAGUCCCAGCUGUAAACUAUGCAAACUCAGUGAUGCGUUGGCUUGUAGCCAGUGCAGUGCCGCAGGGAAGCCGUUAAGUUUGCCGCCUGGGAAGUACGUACGCAAGUAUGAAACUUAAAGGAAUUGGCGGGGGAGCACCACAAGGGGUGAAGCCUGCGGUUCAAUUGGAGUCAACGCCGGGA
Molecule: ribosomal RNA, 915 nt
Filed under: uncultured archaeon
Lineage: Archaea
Description: bacterial SSU rRNA
Rfam family: Archaeal small subunit ribosomal RNA
Source: RNAcentral